GGUUGUAUAGUGUAGUCGGUUAUCACACCAGAUUUUGAUUCCUCCAGAGUUCUGGUGACCCCGGUUCGAAUCCGGGUACGACCU
Molecule: transfer RNA, 84 nt
Organism: Botryobasidium botryosum FD-172 SS1
Lineage: Eukaryota; Fungi; Basidiomycota; Agaricomycetes; Cantharellales; Botryobasidiaceae
Rfam family: tRNA
About the family: Transfer RNA (tRNA) molecules are approximately 80 nucleotides in length.
Source: Rfam